UACGUAGGGGGCAAGCGUUGUCCGGAUUUAUUGGGCGUAAAGAGCGUGUAGGCGGCCAGACAAGUCUGCUGUGAAAACUCGAGGCUCAACCUCGAGCUGUCGGUGGAAACUGUCUGGCUAGAGUCCGGAAGAGGAGAGUGGAAUUCCUGGUGUAGCGGCGAAAUGCGCAGAUAUCAGGAAGAACACCUAUGGCGAAGGCAGCUCUCUGGGACGGUACUGACGCUGAGACGCGAAAGCGUGGGGAGCAAACAGG
RNAcentral lists this ribosomal RNA (253 nucleotides) under uncultured bacterium. RNAcentral describes it as "partial 16S ribosomal RNA". It matches the Rfam family "Bacterial small subunit ribosomal RNA", at positions 524 to 776 of the family's 1533-position model. The record is from RNAcentral.